This 104-nucleotide small nuclear RNA is filed under the name Vulpes vulpes (red fox). Lineage: Eukaryota; Metazoa; Chordata; Mammalia; Carnivora; Canidae. The record is from RNAcentral.
GUGCUCACUUUGAGAGCAUAUAUACUAAAACUGGAAAGAUGCAAAGAAUAGCACAGCCUGUAGACAAUGAUGAAACAAAUUUGUGCAGGAUUCUGUAUUUUUUU